Molecule: ribosomal RNA, 431 nt
Filed under: uncultured archaeon
Lineage: Archaea
Description: bacterial SSU rRNA
Rfam family: Archaeal small subunit ribosomal RNA
Source: RNAcentral
UACCAGCUCUCCGAGUGGUGGGGAUGAUUAUUUGGCCUAAAGCGUCCGUAGCCGGCCGGGUAAGUCUCCCGUUAAAUCCAGCGUCUCAAGCGUUGGACUGCGGGAGAUACUGCCUGGCUAGAGAGUGGGAGAGGUGUACGGUAUUCUGGGGGUAGGGGCGAAAUCCUUUGAUCCCCGGAGGACCACCAGUGGCGAAGGCUGUACACUAGAACACGUCUGACGGUCAGGGACGAAAGCUGGGGUAGCGAACCGGAUUAGAUACCCGGGUAGUCCCAGCCGUAAACGAUGCAUGCUAGGUGUUGGGUUGGCCACGAGCCACCCCAGUGCCGCAGGGAAGCCGUUAAGCAUGCCGCCUGGGAAGUACGAUCGCAAGAUUAGAAACUUAAAGGAAUUGGGCGGGGGAGCACCACCAGGCGUGAAGCCCGCGGUUU